CUACGGAGGGUGCGAGCGUUAAUCGGAAUUACUGGGCGUAAAGGGUGCGUAGGCGGCUUGAUAAGUCGGAUGUGAAAGCCCCGGGCUUAACCUGGGAAUUGCAUUCGAUACUGUCAGGCUAGAGUAUGGCAGAGGUUGGCGGAAUUCCUGGUGUAGCGGUGAAAUGCGUAGAUAUCAGGAGGAACACCAGUGGCGAAGGCGGCUAACUGGGACAAUACUGACGCUGAGGCACGAAAGCGUGGGGAGCAAACAGUAUUAGAUACCCUAGUAGUCC
This 274-nucleotide ribosomal RNA is filed under the name uncultured bacterium. RNAcentral describes it as "partial 16S ribosomal RNA". It matches the Rfam family "Bacterial small subunit ribosomal RNA", at positions 523 to 796 of the family's 1533-position model. The record is from RNAcentral.